Molecule: long non-coding RNA, 586 nt
Filed under: Gallus gallus (chicken)
Lineage: Eukaryota; Metazoa; Chordata; Aves; Galliformes; Phasianidae
Source: RNAcentral
GGCAACUCACUUGCUACAGUUGAUGAUCACAUCUUCUGGCAUAAUCCUCUUCUUCAGCAUGCCCAUUUUGGGGUGGUCACCACGUCCACGGAACAGCCCUGGAGGCUCAGUUUUGAAGUUGCCUAUUUUCUCCCUGUGCCCAUCAAGGAUGCAGUAUCCAUACUCCUCCUGGAUCUUAUCUGCCUCCUCCUGCUUCUCCUCUUUGGAGAGUGCUUUCCGUGCCUCAUUUUUGUCCACAAAGUACUUAUGAAUCUCCCUAAAGUCACACUUGUCCAACUGCUUGAUUAUCUCUUGUUCCUGAGGGGUCAUCUCCUUUCUCCAGUCAUUAAAAAAGUUAUUCUGGAAGAUCUCUUUAGUCGUGUACUCGUGAUCAAGCAUUUUUGCAUAGAAAGUGGCAAUUUCCUCUGUGGCCAGGCUCAGCUUCAGGGGUUUACCAUCAUAAUAAAAUUGCACAUCAUCAGGCAGAGGCUCAUAGAGGGGGACAAAGUAGGGUCCUUUGUGCUCCAGUUGUUUCCACUUCACCCCAUCGUUUGUCUUCUCCUCUUCCCACCUCAUAGCCCUGUACUGGGAGGCAUACAGAACCCCC